RNAcentral lists this ribosomal RNA (256 nucleotides) under uncultured prokaryote. RNAcentral's name for it is "partial 16S ribosomal RNA". It matches the Rfam family "Bacterial small subunit ribosomal RNA", at positions 521 to 776 of the family's 1533-position model. The record is from RNAcentral.
UAAGACGAACCGUGCGAACGUUGUUCGGAAUCACUGGGCUUAAAGGGCGCGUAGGCGGGCCAUCAAGUCCGGGGUGAAAUCUUUCGGCUUAACCGGAAAAUUGCCUUGGAUACUGGUGGUCUUGAGGGAAGUAGGGGUCUGCGGAACUUCCGGUGGAGCGGUGAAAUGUGUUGAUAUCGGAAGGAACGCCGGUGGCGAAAGCGGCGGACUGGGCUUCUUCUGACGCUGAGGCGCGAAAGCUAGGGGAGCAAACGGG